This 403-nucleotide ribosomal RNA is filed under the name uncultured bacterium. RNAcentral's name for it is "partial 16S ribosomal RNA". It matches the Rfam family "Bacterial small subunit ribosomal RNA", at positions 28 to 526 of the family's 1533-position model. The record is from RNAcentral.
GACGAACGCUGGCGGCGUGCCUAAUACAUGCAAGUCGAACGCAGUGGGGACGGGUGAGUAACACGUGGGUAACCUCCCAUCAGAGGGGAUAACACUUGGAAACAGGUGCUAAACCGAUACUGAUGGAUGGACCCGCGGUGCAUUAGCUAGUUGGUGCGGUAACGGCUCACCAAGGCCACGAUGCAUAGCCGACCUGAGAGGGUGAUCGGCCACACUGGGACUGAGACACGGCCCAGACUCCUACGGGAGGCAGCAGUGGGGAAUCUUGGGCAAUGGACGAAAGUCGGACCGAGCAAGGCCGCGUGAGUGAAGAAGGUUUUCGGAUCGUAAAACACUGUCUUCGGGGAGGCGUUAUCUAAACAGAAAGCACCGGCUAACUACGUGCCAGCAGCCGCGGUAAUAC